GACGAACGCUGGCGGCGUGCCUAAUACAUGCAAGUCGAACGCUGAGGGAGGAGCUUGCUUCUCUGGAUGAGUGGCGAACGGGUGAGUAACGCGUAGGUAACCUGCCUUGUAGCGGGGGAUAACUAUUGGAAACGAUAGCUAAUACCGCAUAAUAGUAGAUGUUGCAUGACAUUUGCUUAAAAGGUGCAAUUGCUUCACUACCAGUUGGACCUGCGUUGGAUUAGGUAGUUGGUGCGGUAACGGAACACCAAGGCGGCGAUGCAUCGCCGAACGGGGAUGGGGGGUGGCCAGCCUGGGACGGUGACACGGCACAUUGGCCUACGGGUGGCGGCAGGAGGGAAACGGGGGCAAUGGAUGGAAGACUGACCGAGCAAGGCCGCGGGAGGGAAGAAGAAUGUCGGAUGCGAAAGGUCGGUUGUAAGGGAAGAACGAGUGUGAGAGUGGAAAGUUCACACUGUGACGGUAACUGAUCAGAAAGCGACGGCUAACUACGUG
RNAcentral lists this ribosomal RNA (495 nucleotides) under uncultured bacterium. Its description in RNAcentral is "partial 16S ribosomal RNA". It matches the Rfam family "Bacterial small subunit ribosomal RNA", at positions 28 to 507 of the family's 1533-position model. The record is from RNAcentral.